GUAGGGUGCAAGCGUUAUCCGGAUUUAUUGGGCGUAAAGGGCUCGUAGGCGGUUCGUCGCGUCUGGUGUGAAAGUCCAUCGCUUAACGGUGGAUCUGCGCCGGGUACGGGCGGGCUGGAGUGCGGCAGGGGAGACUGGAAUUCCCGGUGUAACGGUGGAAUGUGUAGAUAUCGGGAAGAACACCAAUGGCGAAGGCAGGUCUCUGGGCCGUUACUGACGCUGAGGAGCGAAAGCGUGGGGAGCGAACAGGAUUAGAUACCCUGGUAGUCCACGCCGUAAACGGUGGAUGCUGGAUGUGGGGCCCUUUCCACGGGUUCCGUGUCGGAGCUAACGCGUUAAGCAUCCCGCCUGGGGAGUACGGCCGCAAGGCUA
Molecule: ribosomal RNA, 372 nt
Filed under: uncultured bacterium
Lineage: Bacteria
Description: bacterial SSU rRNA
Rfam family: Bacterial small subunit ribosomal RNA
Source: RNAcentral